ACCACUUCGGUGGGGAUUAGUGGCGAACGGGUGAGUAACACGUGGGCAAUCUGCCCUGCACUCUGGGACAAGCCCUGGAAACGGGGUCUAAUACCGGAUAUGACCAUCUUGGGCAUCCUUGAUGGUGUAAAGCUCCGGCGGUGCAGGAUGAGCCCGCGGCCUAUCAGCUUGUUGGUGAGGUAACGGCUCACCAAGGCGACGACGGGUAGCCGGCCUGAGAGGGCGACCGGCCACACUGGGACUGAGACACGGCCCAGACUCCUACGGGAGGCAGCAGUGGGGAAUAUUGCACAAUGGGCGCAAGCCUGAUGCAGCGACGCCGCGUGAGGGAUGACGGCCUUCGGGUUGUAAACCUCUUUCAGCAGGGAAGAAGCGAAAGUGACGGUACCUGCAGAAGAAGCGCCGGCUAACUACGUGCCAGCAGCCGCGGUAAUACGUAGGGCGCGAGCGUUGUCCGGAAUUAUUGGGCGUAAAGAGCUCGUAGGCGGCUUGUCACGUCGGUUGUGAAAGCCCGGGGCUUAACCCCGGGUCUGCAGUCGAUACGGGCAGGCUAGAGUUCGGUAGGGGAGAUCGGAAUUCCUGGUGUAGCGGUGAAAUGCGCAGAUAUCAGGAGGAACACCGGUGGCGAAGGCGGAUCUCUGGGCCGAUACUGACGCUGAGGAGCGAAAGCGUGGGGAGCGAACAGGAUUAGAUACCCUGGUAGUCCACGCCGUAAACGGUGGGCACUAGGUGUGGGCAACAUUCCACGUUGUCCGUGCCGCAGCU
RNAcentral lists this ribosomal RNA (765 nucleotides) under Streptomyces sp. RNAcentral's name for it is "bacterial SSU rRNA". It matches the Rfam family "Bacterial small subunit ribosomal RNA", at positions 74 to 853 of the family's 1533-position model. The record is from RNAcentral. Lineage: Bacteria; Bacillati; Actinomycetota; Actinomycetes; Kitasatosporales; Streptomycetaceae.